CAGAGCGUAGCUAAAGUAGUAAAGCAUCUCCCUUACACUGAGAAGUCAUCCGUGCAAGUCGGAUCGCCCUGA
This 72-nucleotide transfer RNA is filed under the name Flavocaranx bajad (orangespotted trevally). RNAcentral's name for it is "tRNA-Val". It matches the Rfam family "tRNA". From Rfam's summary of the family: Transfer RNA (tRNA) molecules are approximately 80 nucleotides in length. Their secondary structure includes four short double-helical elements and three loops (D, anti-codon, and T loops). Further hydrogen bonds mediate the characteristic L-shaped molecular structure. tRNAs have two regions of fundamental functional importance: the anti-codon, which is responsible for specific mRNA codon recognition, and the 3' end, to which the tRNAs corresponding amino acid is attached (by aminoacyl-tRNA synthetases). tRNAs cope with the degeneracy of the genetic code in two manners: having more than one tRNA (with a specific anti-codon) for a particular amino acid; and 'wobble' base-pairing, i.e. permitting non-standard base-pairing at the 3rd anti-codon position. Lineage: Eukaryota; Metazoa; Chordata; Actinopteri; Carangiformes; Carangidae. RNAcentral also lists the same sequence under 3 other names. The record is from RNAcentral.